UAAGAAUCUUGUAAGGUGAUGUUUGACGCUAGAAGGAGCAGGAAACAGGAGGAGCUUUUGAAUACCAAAGCUUAUAAAUGGCUCAUUCUUUAGUCCAGUUUUCUCUUGAUUUCUCAUAGCCUUAUUUUACAUGAAACUUUGAUAUUCUAAGAUGCUGAUUACAAGUCUGUCUGUCUUUUGCUGGAGAAUCAGUCACUGUCUGUAUGAGUAACUUGGUCUUGAGAGAAUCUGGAUGGAGUAAGCUGCUUUGGCUCAGAUACUUCCUUUGGACCAAUAAGCUGUGCAUAAUCCUUAGGGAUGACAACCUCAGGAAAAAAAAUUCUGAAAGUGGUUAGGGUAGAAUAGGCAAUGAAACAUGUUUAAUAUACCAUUUUAAGAAAAAGGAGUCUUAUUAUAAGGACUCAUAAAGAGGAUAAAGAACCAAAUCUAGAAAGCUGUUGGGUACCAAGGCAGCUCU
Molecule: long non-coding RNA, 457 nt
Filed under: Bos taurus (domestic cattle)
Lineage: Eukaryota; Metazoa; Chordata; Mammalia; Artiodactyla; Bovidae
Description: long non-coding RNA NONBTAT023661
Source: RNAcentral